CGCGCCUCUUGCCGCCGCAGCAGCAGCAGUACCGGCAUCCUCGGCUCGCGCUCGCUACCUUCGCCCGCUCCGCGCAAUCUGGGUGCCGCCGGGGAGCCUAGCCCGGCGCCGGACGCGUAGUCAAUCCGUCGCCCAGCGUUGGCCAGCGGCUGCCGCUUGUCCAGGGGGAGAAUCAGCACGAUCCUGGCUCUGAGCACCGCCUUCCAGGGCCCACAGGAGUAUGAGAGGGCCUCCAAAGUGGACCAGUUUGUGACACGCUUCCUGCUGCGGGAGACGGUGAGCCAGCUGCAAGCCCUGCAGAGCUCGCUGGAGGGGGCGUCAGAUACCCUGGAGGCCCAGGCCCAUGGCUGGCGGUCAGACGCAGAGAGCGUGGAGGCGCAGAGCAGGCUCUGCGGCAGCCGGCAGGCAGGACGCCGAGCCCUGAGGAGUGUCAGCCGGUCAUCCACCUGGUCCCCCGGCUCUUCUGACACAGGGCGCAGCUCAGAGGCCGAGAUGCAGUGGCGGCUCCAGGUGAACCGCCUCCAGGAGCUCAUCGACCAGCUCGAGUGCAAGCACAUCCUCGUGGCCCAGAGGCAGGUCCAGGUGGCAGAGGAAGGCCUGCAGGACUUCCACCGAGCCCUGCGCUGCUACGUGGACUUCACAGGGGCCCAGAGCCAUUGUCUGCAUGUGUCCGCCCAGAAGAUGCCGGAUGGUGCCUCCUUCACCCUGUAUGAGUUCUGGCAGGAUGAGCCCUCCUGGAGAAGGCACCAGCAGUCGCCUGGCAGCAAGGCCUUCCAGCGCGUCCUCAUCGACCACCUGCGGGCCCCGGACACCCUCACCACUGUGUUCUUCCCAGCCUCCUGGUGGAUAAUGAAUAACAACUGAGCCAGACCUGCACACGCCGAGGGCCCCGGGACCCUGCCUGCCUCCCUCUGGAGCCUUCUGGACUGGCCAGCCCAGCGCAAAGACCAGGGCUUGUCUCCUCCUGGACUUGGGCCUGGUGGAAGGGCUCUCAGCCCAGGGAUCAGGGACUGGGC
This 1016-nucleotide small RNA is filed under the name Pan troglodytes (chimpanzee). Its description in RNAcentral is "processed transcript". The record is from RNAcentral. Lineage: Eukaryota; Metazoa; Chordata; Mammalia; Primates; Hominidae.